Molecule: ribosomal RNA, 200 nt
Filed under: uncultured bacterium
Lineage: Bacteria
Description: partial 16S ribosomal RNA
Rfam family: Bacterial small subunit ribosomal RNA
Source: RNAcentral
AGAGUUUGAUCCUGGCUCAGAAUCAACGCUGGCGGCGUGCCUAACACAUGCAAGUCGAACGAGAAAGUGGAGCAAUCCAUGAGUACAGUGGCGCACGGGUGAGUAACACGUGACUAACCUGCCUUCGAGUGGGGGAUAACCCCGGGAAACCGGGGCUAAUACCGCAUAACAUCCUCGGGCUGCAAUGCCUGGGGAGCAAA